This is a non-coding RNA of Podarcis lilfordi (Lilford's wall lizard), 792 nucleotides long. The record is from the annotation of a GenBank genome assembly. Lineage: Eukaryota; Metazoa; Chordata; Lepidosauria; Squamata; Lacertidae.
CAUCUAGAUCUCUUUCGGAAGGGAAGCCAGACUCCUUUAGAGAGCUCACCAUGGCCUGGCCUCUGGUUUUCCUGGCACUUCUCAGCUACUGUUCAAGUAAAUUGUCUAUGGAUGCUUGAUUUUAAUUUCUUUUUGCUUUUAACAUUUCUUUAACUUUACAUGAUUUUAUUGUUUUUAUAUUGUUGAAAACCACUCUGAUAUAAUUUUUAUGAGACAGAGGGAUAAACAUAUUUAAUGAAUAAAUGAAUAAAAGUAUGGAAGACUCAAUGAACACAAAAUAAAAAAAUCCCUUCCAGUAGCACCUUAGAGACCAACUAAGUUUGUUAUUGGUAUGAGCUUCAGAUGCAACUGAAGAAAUGUGCAUGCACACAAAGGUCAUACCAAUAACAAACUUAGUUGGUCUCUAAGGUGCUACUGGAAGGAUUUUUUUAUUUUGUUUCGACUACGGCAGACCAACACGGCUACCUACCUGUAACUAAAUCAAUGAACACAGACCAAGAUCAAAUCUCUUUUCACUGUGUACUCAUCAUAGGAACAUUAUGCUUUUGUGAUAUUUUUGUGUAACUUAACAAAUUCAUGAUUUAUUUCCUAUUUCUUUGUACAGGUGUCACUUUGCAACCAACAGUGACCCAGACUGCUUCUUCAUCUGUGACCCUCGGCCAAACAGCUAAACUCUCUUGCAUGGCCAGUCAUGGUGGUAACUGGCACUACUUUCAGUGGCAUCAUCAGAAACCUGGACACGCUCCUCUCUUGGUGCUCUUUGGGACCAUCAGGGGAGAAGGGAUCCCAGAU